This 130-nucleotide small nucleolar RNA is filed under the name Myotis davidii. Its description in RNAcentral is "Small nucleolar RNA SNORA42/SNORA80 family". It matches the Rfam family "Small nucleolar RNA SNORA42/SNORA80 family". From Rfam's summary of the family: The members of this family belong to the H/ACA class of snoRNAs that guide the sites of modification of uridines to pseudouridines. Lineage: Eukaryota; Metazoa; Chordata; Mammalia; Chiroptera; Vespertilionidae. The record is from Rfam by way of RNAcentral.
GCAUGGGCUUGGAUUCAUGGCAGGCCCGUCCCCCUGGGUCUCAUCGUGCCCCGUGCCAGAGCACACUGGCCUGGAACCAUUGCCCUGCCUCUGCCAGUAGGUUGCAGGCACUGAAAUGGGUUACACAGUG